Passer domesticus (house sparrow) is the source of this 1236-nucleotide long non-coding RNA. RefSeq lists it as uncharacterized. NCBI's taxonomy places the organism in Eukaryota, Metazoa, Chordata, Aves, Passeriformes, Passeridae. The transcript has 3 exons. The record is from RefSeq and is a predicted model, not a curated record.
CUUGGGCUUGAUGGCCUCAGAGAUGUUUUCCAACCUUUACAAUUCCAGCAUGGGGGCAGCUGGAUGGCCAUGGACAGCAGGCAGCCUGGGACCUCGAGCCAGUAAGCAGGAGGAUUCCUUCCCCGUUCUCCCAGGGUGGCGUUUGGGGUUUUCACUGACAGGACAGGACUGCUGGGAUGUGUUCUUGGAGCCUCAUUGCAGGGCUGAGACCACAGGAGGAUGGCAAAGCUCACGUCCUGCCAGCAGCAGGUGAUUCCAUGGGAUGAUCCAUGGCUGGUGACCCUUCCAGGCUCGGGGAGUUGGGGAUGCUCAGCCAGGAGAAGAGGAGGUUGUGUGGAAACCUCAGAGCAGCAUUGGAAGCUGAAGAGGGACUGUGGUGAUAAAACAAGGAGGGAUGGCUUCAAAAAAUGAGAGAAAAUGGGUUUAGAUGGGAUUUGGGGAAGGAAUUGUUCCCUGGGAGGGUGGGGAGGUCCUGGCACAGAUUCCCAGAGCAGCUGUGGCUGCCCAGGAUCCCUGGAAGUGUCCAUGGCCAGGCUGGAUUGGGAUUGGACACCCUGGGAUGGUAGAAGGUGUCCCCUCUGCUAUUUAUGUGCUGUCAUGUCAUUAUUUUUUUAUUAAAACAAAGAUUUUUAAUUUUUUUAGAAGGCAGGCUUGGCAAAAUGGCAAGAAAAUUCUGUUUUCUUGGUGGCUUAUGAAAGUAUUGUAAAGCCAUAUUAAGUUUAAAACUGCUGCUCCAAUAGAUCAUGCACUUCAAAUUUGAAAAUUCAGCUUGAAUUGUACAAACAAAAUGAGGACCAGGCAGAGAAGAAAAGCUCAUUCCUGAGAUACUGAAAAAGGGACUUGAUCUUUCAAUGACCUGGGCCAAGCUAAGAUGAUUUAGAGACCAAAUUUUCACCUCUUUUCUGAAAAGCUCUGAUUUUUGCUUGGCAAAGUUGUGCCAUGAUACUUUAAAAGGCAUUAAUCACUUCUUUCAAUGAGAAAGAAAAUACUUGUAUUUUGAAAAAAUUACUUGUUUCUAUAUUUAUUUUUUAUUCAUUAAUUUGCCAGGUAGAAAGUGUUACCUGCCCUCACUCUAGGCUGGCAUUUUAAUUUAAUUUAUUUCUCUCUCUCUUUGUCUUUGGACCUUGUAAAAUGGGGUUCUUACCCCAGUUAAACUUUUAUUGCUGUAACACUGAGCAAGCAGUACCUGUUUGGAAUUAAAGAUACUUUUGAAUGAGGCAGAAUCUAACUUUUAAU